ACAGGUAUAGCUCAGUGGUAGAGGGUGUGCUUAGCAUACAUGAGAUCCUGGGUUCAAUCCUCAGUACUUCCA
This is a transfer RNA of Camelus ferus (Wild Bactrian camel), 72 nucleotides long. It matches the Rfam family "tRNA". Rfam says of the family: Transfer RNA (tRNA) molecules are approximately 80 nucleotides in length. Their secondary structure includes four short double-helical elements and three loops (D, anti-codon, and T loops). Further hydrogen bonds mediate the characteristic L-shaped molecular structure. tRNAs have two regions of fundamental functional importance: the anti-codon, which is responsible for specific mRNA codon recognition, and the 3' end, to which the tRNAs corresponding amino acid is attached (by aminoacyl-tRNA synthetases). tRNAs cope with the degeneracy of the genetic code in two manners: having more than one tRNA (with a specific anti-codon) for a particular amino acid; and 'wobble' base-pairing, i.e. permitting non-standard base-pairing at the 3rd anti-codon position. NCBI's taxonomy places the organism in Eukaryota, Metazoa, Chordata, Mammalia, Artiodactyla, Camelidae. The record is from Rfam.